GACGAACGCUGGCGGCGUGCUUAACACAUGCAAGUCGAACGGAAAGGCCCUGCUUUUGUGGGGUGCUCGAGUGGCGAACGGGUGAGUAACACGUGAGUAACCUGCCCUUGACUUUGGGAUAACUUCAGGAAACUGGGGCUAAUACCGGAUAGGAGCUCCUGCUGCAUGGUGGGGGUUGGAAAGUUUCGGCGGUUGGGGAUGGACUCGCGGCUUAUCAGCUUGUUGGUGGGGUAGUGGCUUACCAAGGCUUUGACGGGUAGCCGGCCUGAGAGGGUGACCGGCGACAUUGGGACUGAGAUACGGCCCAGACUCCUACGGGAGGCAGCAGUGGGGAAUAUGGCACAAUGGGCGGAAGCCUGAUGCAGCAACGCCGCGUGCGGGAUGACGGCCUUCGGGUUGUAAACCGCUUUCGCCGGUGACGAAGCGUGAAUGACGGUAAUGGGUAAAGAAGCACCGGCUAACUACGUG
RNAcentral lists this ribosomal RNA (468 nucleotides) under uncultured bacterium. RNAcentral's name for it is "partial 16S ribosomal RNA". It matches the Rfam family "Bacterial small subunit ribosomal RNA", at positions 28 to 507 of the family's 1533-position model. The record is from RNAcentral.